AUUGAACGCUGGCGGCAUGCCUUACACAUGCAAGUCGAACGGUAACAGGUUAAGCUGACGACUGGCGUACGGGUGAGUAAUGUAUCGGAACGUCCCCAGUCGCGGGGGUUAACUGCUCGAAUGAGCAGCUAAUACCGCAUCCGACCUGAGGGUGAAAUCGGGGCCUCGCAAGACCUCGCGCGAUUGGAGCGUCCCUUUUCCGAUUAGAUAGUUGGUCAGGUAAAGGCUUACCAAGGCAACGAUCUGUAGCCGGUCUGAGAGGUCGACCAGCCACACUGGGACUGAGACACGGCCCAGACUCCUACGGGAGGCAGCAGUGGGGAAUUUUGGACAAUGGGCGAAAGCCUGAUCGAGCAAUGCCGCGUGAGGGAAGAAGGCCUUCGGGUUGUAAAACGCUUUUAUCAGGGAAGAAAAGAUUCGGAAUAAAACCUGGAACUCAUGACGGUACCUGAAGAGUAAGCAACGGCUAACUACGUG
This 477-nucleotide ribosomal RNA is filed under the name uncultured bacterium. Its description in RNAcentral is "partial 16S ribosomal RNA". It matches the Rfam family "Bacterial small subunit ribosomal RNA", at positions 30 to 507 of the family's 1533-position model. The record is from RNAcentral.